CACCGCGGUUAUACGAGUAACUCACAUUAAUAUUUCACGGCGUAAAGGGUGAUUAAAAGUUUCUAAAAAGUACUAGAGUUAUGACCUUAUAAAGCUGUCAUACGCACCUAUAAAAGAAGUAAUACACUGACGAAAGUAACUUUAACUAACUAGAGCUUUUGACCUCACGACAGUUAAGACACAAACUAGGAUUAGAUACCCCACU
Molecule: ribosomal RNA, 205 nt
Filed under: Raja undulata (undulate ray)
Lineage: Eukaryota; Metazoa; Chordata; Chondrichthyes; Rajiformes; Rajidae
Description: partial small subunit ribosomal RNA
Source: RNAcentral